This is a long non-coding RNA of Camarhynchus parvulus, 2386 nucleotides long. The record is from Ensembl. Lineage: Eukaryota; Metazoa; Chordata; Aves; Passeriformes; Thraupidae.
GUGGGAUCCCCCAGAUCCAGGUCCAGAUCGCCCCAAUUCAGCCCCAGAUCCCAUGGAGGGUGCAGGUGGGAUCCCCCAGAUCCAGAUCCCAAGGGAGGCGUAGGUGGGACCCCCUGAUCCCAGAUCCAGAUCCCCCAAUCCAGCCCCAGAUCCCAAGGGAGGUGCAGGUGGGAUCCCCCCGAUCCAUAUCCCAGAUCCAGAUCGCCCCAAUCCGGCCCCAGAUCCCAAGGGAGGCGCAGGUGGGACCCCCUGAUCCCAGAUCCAGAUCCCCCAGUGCAGCCCCAGAUCCCAGGGGAGGCGCAGGUGGGAUCCCCCGAUCCCAGAUCCAGAUCGCCCCAAUCCAGCCCCAGAUCCCAGGGGAGGCGCAGCUGGGCCCCGCCCGCCUGGGGCACGGGGCUCACCUGGAUCUCGCCCAGGUGAGCUCCCAGCAGGAAAAGCAGAGCUGGAGCAGACGGAGAGCAAAGCCAAACUCUUGAAACACACGGACUCGGGAUGGGGGGCAGGGGGGCAGUUCCUGGGGGCGGGAUGUGGGGUUUUGCCCCGGGCAGGGCCGGGAUGGACGGAUGGAGCCCGUCAGGAGCCCGGGCAGGUGGGACGGGGAUCAGUGCAGCCGAGGGCAGGAGCCAUAAAGUGCAGCGAAGCUUCCGGGGCUCCGGGGUUCCUGGGGGGCUCCAGUGUCCAGGGGGGGACAUGGGGACACCGUGACACCGGGGGGGACAUGGGGACACCGGGGGGGACGCGGCUCAGGAAGGACCAGCGGCGCCGGGACAGGGACGGGUCCUUUCCCGGUUCUGUUCCUGGCUCCAUUCCCGGUGCCAUUGCUGGUUUGGUUGCCAGUCCUGGUUCCGUUCCUGGUUCCUUUGCUGGUGCCAGUUCUGGUUCUGUUCCUGGUUCUGGUUCCUUUGCUGGUGCCGGUUCUGCUCCUGGUUCUAUUCCCGGUUCUGAUUCUGGUCCUGGUUCCUUUCCUGGUGUCGGCGCUGCUCCUGGUUUCAUUCCUGGUUCCGUUCCUGGUUCCUUUCCUAGUGCUGGUUCUACUCCUGGUUCCAUUCCCAGUGCUGGUUACAUUCCUGGUUCCGUUCCCAGUUCUGUUCCCAGUCCUGGUUCCUUUCCCAAUCCCAGUUCUGUUCCCAGUCCCGGUUCCAGUCCUGGUUUUGUUCCCAGGCCCGGUUCCAGUCCUGGUUCUGUUCCCAGUCCCAUUCUCGGUCCUGGUUCUGUUUCCAGGUCCGGUUCCAGUCCUGGUUCUGUUCUCAGUGCUGGUUCCGGUCCCACUUCCAUUCUCAGUCCUGCUCCCAGUUCCAGGCCCAUUCCUGGUUCCGUUCCCAGUCCCUGUUCCAUUCCCAGUCCGGUUCCAUUCCUGUUCCCAGUCCUGGUUCCGUUCCCGGUUCCGGUCCCAGUCCCAGUCCCGGUUCCGUUCCCAGUCCCGGUUCCGGUUUGGUUCCCAGUCCCGGUUUGGUUCCCAGUCCCGGUUCCGGUCCCAGUCCCGGUUCCAUUCCCAGUCCCGGUUCCGUUCCCGGUUCCGGUUCGGUUCCCAGUCCCUGGUUCCGUUCCCGGUUCCGUUCCCCGGUUCGGUUUGGUUCCCAGUCCAUUUCCAGUCCCAUUGCUGGUUCCGUUCCCGUUGCCGGUUCCGUUCCCGGUGUCUCGGAUCCCGCCGGGAAUCUCACAUGCACAUCACCUGCGGCCUGCAAUGAGGACAGGGAGGGUCACCUGCCUCUCCUGCGGCCACGCCCCCUGCCCCGCCCUGCCCGUGGCCACGCCCCCUGCCCCGCCCUGCCCACCUGUCCUCCUCGAUGCCGCCGCCCUCGGGGUCGCCGCUGUCGCCCUUCUCGGCGUCGCCCUCGCCCAGGUCCAUGUCCAGCUCGGUCCCGGUGUCCGGCCGGGUGUAGGCGUAGCCACUGUGGGAGGGAAGGGACAGAAUUCCAGGGAAUCCCCUCGGGAAUGGCCCCUGGAAUUCCAGGGAAUCCCCUCGGGAAUGGCUCUUGGAAUUUCAGGGAAUCCCCUUGGGAAUGGCCCCUGGAAUUCCAGGGAAUCCCCUCGGGAAUGGCCCCUGGAACUCUGGGAAACCUCUUGGGAAUGGCUCUUGGAACUCUGGGAAACCUGUUGGGAACGGCCCCUGGAAUUUCAGAGAAUCCCCCCAGAAGGGUCCCUGGAAUUCCGGGGAAUCCCUCUCAAGAAUAUUCCAGGGCAUCCUCUCAGGAAUGGCCCCUGGAAUUCUGGGGAACUCCCUUGGGAAUCCCCCAUAGAAUCAUGGGAAAUCCCAUCGGGAACCUCCGCCCUGCCUCCCCCAGAACUGUGGGAAAUUCCCUCAGGAAUGGCCCCUGGAAUUACAGGAAUCCCCUUGGGAAUGGCCCCUGGAAUUCUGAGGAAUCCCCUUGGGAAUGGCUCCUGA